RNAcentral lists this long non-coding RNA (1029 nucleotides) under Piliocolobus tephrosceles (Ugandan red Colobus). RNAcentral describes it as "lncRNA (ENSPTEG00000008708.1)". The record is from RNAcentral. Lineage: Eukaryota; Metazoa; Chordata; Mammalia; Primates; Cercopithecidae.
AUGUUUAGGCCAAUUUUCAACAACUUCCUUCAUAUUUUUUUUAAUACUAUUACUUACAUUACUAUCCCUCUUCAUAUAAUCGCUAGUUUCGUUUGUAUGUUCUGUAUUUUUGUAGUAAUAAUUAUUGUCGUGAUGGCUGUUGUCGUAAUGACUAUUGUCGUGAUGGUCAUCCUCGUUAUAACAAUUGUCUUGCUGACCAUCAUUGUAGUAACUCUUGUUAUCGUAGUCCUUAUCGUAGUCCUUAUCAUAGUCCUUAUCAUAGUCCUUAUCGUAGUCCUUAUCAUAGUCCUUAUCAUAGUCCUUAUCAUAGUCCUUAUCGUAGUAGUUUUUAUAAUACAUUUUAUUAUUAUAUUUAUUAUUGUAAUACUGUUCGUUGUUAUAUCUCCUACCGUGAUAGCCCAUGUCAUAAUUAUUAUUACUACGACUAUUAUCUUGUUCAUAAUUUGUAUCAGUUUGAGUUUUAAAUUGUUUUCUGCCUUUAUAUGAAUUUGAUUCGUUAGAGUUCCUACGUUUUAUAUAUUCUGAGUUGUAAUUUUUUUUUUUUAAUUUUUUAUUUUUUUUUUUUUUAACAUCCUUUUCGCUAACAUCUUUUUCGCUAACAUCCUUUUCGCUANNNNNNNNNNCAUCCUUUUCGCUAACAUCUUUUUCGCUAACAUCCUUUUCGCUAACACCCUUUUCAUUUAUUUUAUUUUUUUUAUUCUUUUUAUUUUUUUUUUCCUUUCCCUUUACCCCUACUAUUUCCUCUUUAUCAAUUUUAUUUUCCAAAUUUUCGAACUCGCAAUCUAUUUUGCUAUUACUAGAAGAUGGAGAUCUUUUUAUUUGUUCUUUACAUAAAAAAAAAUUAUCCUCUUUAUUAUGAUCAUCCAUACAAUCAUUGAAUGUAAUCAUACUAUUAUAAAUAUUGUAACAUUUAUUUUUAUUUUCUAUUGCAUCAGUUGUUAAUUUAUUAAUAUCUUCUUCUCUUAUAUCUUCAAUAACCUCUUGUAAAUGUCCCUCAUAAAAAUAAAUAUAAAUUUUGUUACUUCUGCA